GUCAUGUGUGGUGGUGCACACCUGUAAUCCCAGCUACUUGGGAGGCUGAGGUCAGGGCAUCGCUUGAACCCAGGAGUUCUAGGCCAGCCUGGGCAACAUAGGGUGACCUUGACUCAA
Molecule: small RNA, 117 nt
Filed under: Marmota monax (woodchuck)
Lineage: Eukaryota; Metazoa; Chordata; Mammalia; Rodentia; Sciuridae
Source: RNAcentral